UAGGGAAUAUUGGUAAUGGGCGAAAGCCUGAACCAGCAACGCCGCAUGUGCGAUGAAGGCCUUCGGGUUGUAAAGCACUUUUUAAGAGGAUGAGGAAGGACAGUACUCUUAGAAUAAGCCUCGGCUAACUACGUGCCAGCAGCCGCGGUAACACGUAGGAGGCAAGCGUUAUUCGGAUUUACUGGGCGUAAAGCGCGUGCAGGCGGUUUGGUAAGUUGGAUGUGAAAGCUCCUGGCCUAACUGGGAGAGGUCGUUCAAUACUACCAGACUAGAGGAUGGGAGAGGGAGGUGGAAUUCCGGGUGUAGUGGUGAAAUGCGUAGAUAUCCGGAGGAACACCAGUGGCGAAAGCGGCCUCCUGGCCCAUUUCUGACGCUCAGACGCGAAAGCUAGGGUAGCAAACGG
RNAcentral lists this ribosomal RNA (403 nucleotides) under uncultured bacterium. RNAcentral's name for it is "bacterial SSU rRNA". It matches the Rfam family "Bacterial small subunit ribosomal RNA", at positions 355 to 775 of the family's 1533-position model. The record is from RNAcentral.